GACGAACGCUGGCGGCGUGCUUAACACAUGCAAGUCGAACGGAAAGGCCCUGCUUUUGUGGGGUGCUCGAGUGGCGAACGGGUGAGUAACACGUGAGUAACCUGCCCUUGACUUUGGGAUAACUUCAGGUAACUGGGGCUAAUACCGGAUAGGAGCUCCUGCUGCCUGGUGGGGGUUGGAAAGUUUCGGCGGGUGGGGAUGGACUCGCGGCUUAUCAGCUUGUUGGUGGGGGAGUGGCUUACCAAGGCAUUGACGGGUAGCCGGCCUGAGAGGGUGACCGGCCACAUUGGGACUGAGAUACGGCCCAGACUCCUACGUGAGGCAGCAGUGGGGAAUAUUGCACAAUGGUCGGAAGCCUGAUGCAGCAACGCCGCGUGCGUGAUGACGGCCUUCGGGUUGUAAACCGCUUUCGCCUGUGACGAAGCGUGAGUGACGGUAAUGGGUAAAGAAGCACCGGCUAACUACGUG
RNAcentral lists this ribosomal RNA (468 nucleotides) under uncultured bacterium. RNAcentral describes it as "partial 16S ribosomal RNA". It matches the Rfam family "Bacterial small subunit ribosomal RNA", at positions 28 to 507 of the family's 1533-position model. The record is from RNAcentral.